CAGUCGCCGCGGUAAUACAGAGGGUGCGAGCGUUAAUCGGAAUUACUGGGCGUAAAGCGCGCGUAGACGGUUUUGUAAGUCAGAUGUGAAAUCCCUGGGCUCAACCUGGGAACUGCAUUUGAUACUGCAUGGCUAGAGUAUGGAAGAGGGAAGUGGAAUUUCCGGUGUAGCGGUGAAAUGCGUAGAUAUCGGAAGGAACACCAGUGGCGAAAGCGACUUCCUGGUCCAAUACUGACGUUCAUGUGCGAAAGCGUGGGGAGCAAACAGGAUUAGAGACCCGUGUAGUCCCUGUCUCUUAUAA
This 301-nucleotide ribosomal RNA is filed under the name uncultured bacterium. RNAcentral's name for it is "partial 16S ribosomal RNA". It matches the Rfam family "Bacterial small subunit ribosomal RNA", at positions 509 to 809 of the family's 1533-position model. The record is from RNAcentral.